Molecule: long non-coding RNA, 373 nt
Organism: Homarus americanus (American lobster)
Lineage: Eukaryota; Metazoa; Arthropoda; Malacostraca; Decapoda; Nephropidae
Exons: 4
Source: RefSeq, a predicted model, not a curated record
UACACUUCAGGUGUUCCUCCACUACAGGUACACUUCAAGGUGUUCCUCCACUACAGCUACACUUCAAGGUGCUCCUCCACUACAGCUACACUUCAAGGUGCUCCUCCACACAGCUACACUUCAAGGUGCUCCUCCACUACAGCUACACUUCAAGGUGUUCCUCCACUACAGCUACACUUCAAGGUGUUCCUCCACUACAGCUACACUUCAGUGCUCCUCCACUACAGCUACACUUCAGGGUGCUCCUCCACUACAGCUACACUUCAAGGUGCUCCUCCACUACAGCUACACUUCAAGGUGCUCCUCCACUACAGCUACACUUCAAGGUGCUCCUCCACUACAGCUACACUUCAAGGUGCUCCUCCACUACAGC